Molecule: non-coding RNA, 1223 nt
Organism: Chlorocebus sabaeus (green monkey)
Lineage: Eukaryota; Metazoa; Chordata; Mammalia; Primates; Cercopithecidae
Source: RefSeq, a predicted model, not a curated record
GAAUUGAUCCGGGAGUUGAAGAGGGCUGCAAAGGUGGGAAGUGAAGUCAGUGCCUCAGUUGCUGAUCAGUGUGUGUUCUGUGUCCAAUUCUUUUAUCACCAAAAAAGAGAAGAAAUAUUGCAGUGAAUGAAGAUUCCUCUGCAUUUUAGCACUGCUUUUUCAACUGUAGUUGGCUUUUGAAUGAGGAUGACAAUGGAAGAGAUGAAGAACGAAGCUGAGACCACAUCCAUGGUUUCUACGACCCUCUCUGCAGUCAUGUAUCCUGUGUUUAAUGAGCUAGAACGAGUAAAUCUGUCUGCAGCCCAGACACUGAGAGCCGCUUUCAUUAAGACUGAAAAAGAAAAUCCAGGUCUUACACAAGACAUCAUUAUGAAUAUUUUAGAGGAAAAAAGUGUAGAAGUUAACUUCAUGGAGUCCCUUCUUCAUAUGGCAGCUGAUGAUAUAGAAGAGUAUAUGACUGAGUGGCCAGAGCCAGAAUUCCAAGACCUAAAUGAAAAGGCACGAGCACUUAACAAAUUCUCAGUAAGAUCCCAGAUGAGAUCAAUGACAGAGUGAGGUUUCUGCAGACAAUCAAGGAUAUAGCUAGUGCAAUAAAAGAACUUCUCGAUACGGUGAAUAAUGUCUUCAAGAAAUAUCAAUACCAGAACCGCAGGGCACUUGAAUACAAAAAGAAAGAAUUUGUAAAGUACUCCAAAAGUUUCAGUGAUACUCUGAAAAUGUAUUUUAAAGAUGGCAAGGCAAUAAAUGUGUUCAUAAGUGCCAACCGACUAAUUCAUCAAACCAACUUAAUACUUCAGACCUUCAAAACUGUGGCCUCAAAGUUGUAUAUGUUAAGAGGUACUUCUCAGUGGCAGUACUGAACUGCCUUUAUCUGUAAAUUUUAAAGUUUGACUGUAUAAAUUAUCAGUCCCUCCUGAAGGGAUCCAAUCCAGGACGCUGAAUGGGAUUAUUGCCAUCUUACACCAUAUUUUUGUAAAAUGUAGCUUAAUCAUAAUCUCACACUGAAGAUUUUGCAUCACUUUUGCUAUUAUCAUUCUUUUAAGAAUUAUAAGCCAAAAGAAUUUACGCCUGAAUGUGUCAUUAUAUAACAUUCCUUAAAAGAAUUGUAAAUAUUGGUGUUUGUUUCUGACAUUUUAACUUGAAAGCGAUACGCUGCAAGAUAAUGUAUUUAACAAUAUUUGGUGGCAAAUAUUCAAUAAACAGUUUACAUCUGUUAAACAUUU